ACUGCCGGUGACAAACCGGAGGAAGGUGGGGAUGACGUCAAAUCAUCAUGCCCCUUAUGAUUUGGGCUACACACGUGCUACAAUGGACAAUACAAAGGGCAGCGAAACCGCGAGGUCAAGCAAAUCCCAUAAAGUUGUUCUCAGUUCGGAUUGUAGUCUGCAACUCGACUACAUGAAGCUGGAAUCGCUAGUAAUCGUAGAUCAGCAUGCUACGGUGAAUACGUUCCCGGGUCUUGUACACACCGCCCGUCACACCACGAGAGUUUGUAACACCCGAAGCCGGUGGAGUAACCUUUUAGGAGCUAGCCGUCGAAGGUGGGACAAAUGAUUGGGGUGAAGUCGUAACAAGGUAGCCGUAUCGGAAGGUGCGGCUGGAUCACCUCCUUUCUAAGGAUAUAUUCGGAAC
Molecule: ribosomal RNA, 406 nt
Filed under: Staphylococcus aureus subsp. aureus 301-188
Lineage: Bacteria; Bacillati; Bacillota; Bacilli; Caryophanales; Staphylococcaceae
Also listed under: 1 other name
Description: bacterial SSU rRNA
Rfam family: Bacterial small subunit ribosomal RNA
Source: RNAcentral